This 433-nucleotide ribosomal RNA is filed under the name uncultured bacterium. Its description in RNAcentral is "partial 16S ribosomal RNA". It matches the Rfam family "Bacterial small subunit ribosomal RNA", at positions 29 to 507 of the family's 1533-position model. The record is from RNAcentral.
AACGAACGCUGGCGGCAUGCCUAACACAUGCAAGUCGAACGAGACCUUCGGGUCUAGUGGCGCACGGGUGCGUAACGCGUGGGAACCUGCCCUUAGGUUCGGAAUAACUCCCCGAAAGGGGUGCUAAUACCGGAUAAUGUCUUCGGACCAAAGAUUUAUCGCCUUUGGAUGGGCCCGCGUUGGAUUAGCUAGUUGGUAGGGUAAAAGCCUACCAAGGCGACGAUCCAUAGCUGGUCUGAGAGGAUGAUCAGCCACACUGGGACUGAGACACGGCCCAGACUCCUACGGGAGGCAGCAGUGGGGAAUAUUGGACAAUGGGCGAAAGCCUGAUCCAGCAAUGCCGCGUGAGUGAUGAAGGCCUUAGGGUUGUAAAGCUCUUUUACCCGCGAUGAUAAUGACAGUACCGGGAGAAUAAGCUCCGGCUAACUCCGUG